RNAcentral lists this long non-coding RNA (407 nucleotides) under Aquilegia coerulea. RNAcentral's name for it is "long non-coding RNA (ACOE_LNC000489)". Lineage: Eukaryota; Viridiplantae; Streptophyta; Magnoliopsida; Ranunculales; Ranunculaceae. The record is from RNAcentral.
AUAGCAAUUGCAAUCAAAUGAAUCUGUUUGAUAAGCAAUAUCAAAUUGAAAAACAACAAUCAAAUAACAAAUUUCAAUUUGAAAUUACCUUAACCCUUCGAUCAAACCUGCAAACAGAUCUUGCGAUAUGAAAAUAGAACAGAUCUUAUGAAUUGAAGUCAAGAUCCCUCUUUCGUUUCUCAGAAAAAGAUGAUAAGCGAGAGAUCCAACGAAUGAGAGAGUGAGAAAGAAAGAGAUCGAAAGAGGGAAAGAGAGAGCUAUCGAAGCUGCUUCUUCUUCUUGUUGAAUUGAUGAUCGAGAGAGAAAGAGAGAGAACGAAGGAAGGAAGAAGAUGAGUUUAUAUUAAUUGAAUCGGUGGCGAUAGAACUCUUGACUCCUCCUUAAUUGUUUGAUGAAAUGCCCAAAUU